GUUUGCUGUUACACCCUCCUUCCUCAAACAGCAAAGACUUGUUGUAAAACAGAGCUGUUUCUAGAACCAGAUCCACCUACAAGUCAUUUAAAAGCCUCCUACCUCAAAUUUGCAGCUAUAAAUUCUUGCAGGGCGUUGGAAGGGAUCCUUUAGUUUACAGUGAUGCCCAUCCUGAUCUGUGCAAGAAAUCCAGGAUUAUCCAGGACUGUGGUCUCUGUGCCAGGAUCCAUCCUUGCCAAGCUGGGGGAACACAAAGGAUGCAAAGAAAGUACAUGGAGAAACUCUGCAGAUUUUUGUGUCCUCCCAUUUCUCUUGUUCAUUCCUCACAGAUGGAAUUCCAGAGUUUAAAAUGUGACUGUGGCAAAUCAGAGGGUCCUGAGGAACAGUAUGGCUCAGAGCAGCUGUGUGCUGGAGGUUGUCAGAGCUACUGGAGGUGCCGGAUGUUUCUGUAAACACCUCAAUCCAAGCACCCUCAUGGUUAGACUGAGGCCAGCUUGCUGCUGACUCCUGCCUCUGCCAGAAGGGCUCAGACUGGAGAAUAUGAGCAUUUCACAGAUGGGAUUAAGCACAAGUCACUCCUGUGCCCAUUCCUACCAGUCCCUUCAGGAGAUGUGUUUGUCUGGAGCUGCUGGAAAUCAAGCAUUCCCCAGUAUGUAACUUAUUUCAGGGCUGUUCCAAAGGCUGCUGGAAUGCAAGAGACUUCCAGAGUAUUUUAAUAAAUAUAAAAAUUUAAAACAA
This is a long non-coding RNA of Passer domesticus (house sparrow), 738 nucleotides long. RefSeq lists it as uncharacterized. The record is from RefSeq and is a predicted model, not a curated record. The transcript has 5 exons. Lineage: Eukaryota; Metazoa; Chordata; Aves; Passeriformes; Passeridae.